AUUGAACGCUGGCGGCAUGCCUUACACAUGCAAGUCGAACGGCAGCACGGGAGCAAUCCUGGUGGCGAGUGGCGAACGGGUGAGUAAAGUAUCGGAACGUGCCCAGUCGUGGGGGAUAACGUAGCGAAAGUUACGCUAAUACCGCAUACGAUCUAUGGAUGAAAGCGGGGGAUCGCAAGACCUCGCGCGAUUGGAGCGGCCGAUAUCAGAUUAGGUAGUUGGUGGGGUAAAGGCUCACCAAGCCGACGAUCUGUAGCUGGUCUGAGAGGACGACCAGGCACAGUGGGACGGUGACACGGCACAGACUCCUACGGGAGGCAGCAGUGGGGAAUUUUGGAAAAUGGGCGAAAGCCUGAUCCAGCCAUGCCGCGUGCAGGAUGAAGGCCUUCGGGUUGUAAACUGCUUUUGUACGGAACGAAAAGGUUUGGCCUAAUAAGCUGAGCUCAUGACGGUACCGUAAGAAUAAGCACCGGCUAACUACGUGCCAGCCGCCGCCGUAA
RNAcentral lists this ribosomal RNA (500 nucleotides) under uncultured bacterium. RNAcentral's name for it is "partial 16S ribosomal RNA". It matches the Rfam family "Bacterial small subunit ribosomal RNA", at positions 30 to 523 of the family's 1533-position model. The record is from RNAcentral.